Molecule: long non-coding RNA, 732 nt
Organism: Pezoporus flaviventris
Lineage: Eukaryota; Metazoa; Chordata; Aves; Psittaciformes; Psittacidae
Exons: 3
Source: RefSeq, a predicted model, not a curated record
GGGUCCCCGACCCCGUCCCGAUCCCGAUCCCAGUGCUGGGGCCCUUGUUUCUGAGGAGAAGGAGAAUUGUCUAUAAGUGCACCUGAAUACAACAAAGAUUAUGUGUUCAAGAAUCUUGAGUGAAAUCCCCACAGCCAGUGUUUGUUUCUAACCAAAUCAAUUCUCAUUCAGUUCAAGAAGUACACACAAUGAAGCUACAUGAAUCAUGUAAAGAAGAGAGAAUUAAAGAUGGGAGGAAGAGAUGCAACUAUCAUGGUCUUGUGUUGCCACCUUCUAUUCUGGUUUCAGGGGGAAGCCAGGGCAUUUCCAGACCCACCUGAGGUUAGCAACUGCUUGAGUAGAGACUCUUAGACCUGCUUGCAAACAGCCUACAGACAAAAAAAAAAAUCUGCAGGAAUUAGAUGAAAAAUCUCAAAACAGAGGAUAGAAUCAAGACAAUCACAAUGUACUCAUGCAUAAUUCAUGGGGGGGGGGGGGAAUCUGCAUCUCCUGAAUGCUUCUUUCACUUGGGCUUCUUUCACUUAAGGCCUCAUCCAAAAUAUUCAGACAAUGAGAGAUGUUUCACCAUCUUGAGUCUAAGCCAAGUCACCGUCUGCUUACACCUGUAAAACUGAUGGAUAAAAUGAGGCUAAAACCAAUCAAAGUUUAUUGCCCACAAUCUCACGGUGUGCUACUGAGGGCCUGUAAUCAGAAAGCAUUGGAUUCAACAGCAGUGCUUCUGGUGCUUCAGAU